This 253-nucleotide ribosomal RNA is filed under the name uncultured bacterium. Its description in RNAcentral is "partial 16S ribosomal RNA". It matches the Rfam family "Bacterial small subunit ribosomal RNA", at positions 524 to 776 of the family's 1533-position model. The record is from RNAcentral.
UACAGGGGGUGCAAACGUUGCUCGGAAUCAUUGGGCGUAAAGCGCACGUAGGCGGUCUGUUAUGUCGGAUGUGAAAGCCCUUGGCUUAACUGAGGAAGUGCAUCCGAAACUGGCAGGCUAGAGUACUAAAGAGGGUCGCGGAAUUCCCGGUGUAGAGGUGAAAUUCGUAGAUAUCUGGAGGAACACCGGUGGCGAAGGCGGCAUCCUGGACCAACACUGACACUGAGGAGCGAAAGCCAGGGGAGCAAACGGG